UUAGAGUUUGAUUCUGCUCAGGAUGAACGCUAGCGGCAGGCUUAACACAUGCAAGUCGAGGGGCAGCGAGAUCAGUGCUUGCACUGAUUGUCGGCGACCGGCGCACGGGUGCGUAACGCGUAUGCAACCUACCCAUUACAGGGGGAUAACACUGAGAAAUCGGUACUAAUACCCCAUAACAUCCAGGGAGGCAUCUUCUUGGGUUGAAAACUCCGGUGGUAAUGGAUGGGCAUGCGUUGUAUUAGUUAGUUGGUGGGGUAACGGCUCACCAAGACAACGAUACAUAGGGGGACUGAGAGGUUAACCCCCCACAUUGGUACUGAGACACGGACCAAACUCCUACGGGAGGCAGCAGUGAGGAAUAUUGGUCAAUGGACGCAAGUCUGAACCAGCCAUGCCGCGUGCAGGAAGACGGCUCUAUGAGUUGUAAACUGCUUUUGUACGAGGGUAAACGCAGAUACGCGUAUCUGUCUGAAAGUAUCGUACGAAUAAGGAUCGGCUAACUCCGUGCCAGCAGCCGCGGUAAUACGGAGGAUUCAAGCGUUAUCCGGAUUUAUUGGGUUUAAAGGGUGCGUAGGCGGUCGGAUAAGUUAGAGGUGAAAUCCCGGGGCUCAACUUCGGAAUUGCCUCUGAUACUGUUCGGCUAGAGAGUAGUUGCGGUAGGCGGAAUGUAUGGUGUAGCGGUGAAAUGCUUAGAGAUCAUACAGAACACCGAUUGCGAAGGCAGCUUACCAAGCUACUUCUGACGUUGAGGCACGAAAGCGUGGGGAGCAAACAGGAUUAGAUACCCUGGUAGUCCACGCAGUAAACGAUGAUAACUCGUUGUCGGCGAUACAGUGUCGGUGACUAAGCGAAAGCGAUAAGUUAUCCACCUGGGGAGUACGUUCGCAAGAAUGAAACUCAAAGGAAUUGACGGGGGCCCGCACAAGCGGAGGAACAUGUGGUUUAAUUCGAUGAUACGCGAGGAACCUUACCCGGGCUUGAAAGUUAGUGACGGAUCUUGAAAGAGGUCUUCCCUUCGGGGCACGAAACUAGGUGCUGCAUGGUUGUCGUCAGCUCGUGCCGUGAGGUGUCGGGUUAAGUCCCAUAACGAGCGCAACCCCUACCGUUAGUUGCCAGCAGGUCAAGCUGGGCACUCUGACGGGACUGCCGGUGUAAGCCGAGAGGAAGGUGGGGAUGACGUCAAAUCAGCACGGCCCUUACGUCCGGGGCUACACACGUGUUACAAUGGCAGGUACAGAGGGCAGCUACCCAGCGAUGGGAUGCGAAUCUCGAAAGCCUGUCUCAGUUCGGAUUGGAGGCUGAAACCCGCCUCCAUGAAGUUGGAUUCGCUAGUAAUCGCGCAUCAGCCAUGGCGCGGUGAAUACGUUCUCCGGGCCUUGCACACACCGCCCGUCA
This 1398-nucleotide ribosomal RNA is filed under the name uncultured bacterium. RNAcentral describes it as "16S ribosomal RNA". It matches the Rfam family "Bacterial small subunit ribosomal RNA". The record is from RNAcentral.